UCAAAACAAUUACAUUUAUAGUGUUUUAUUUAGUGCUUGAUGAAUGCAAGUCUAUAAAAAAAUAAUUCAAGCCAGCCCCCUUCUUUGUCCUGGAUGAAAUUGAUGCUGCCUUGGAUAACACCAACAUUGGCAAGCAAGGGGACUGUGUGAUCAGCAAAGUCCUGACCUUCGACCUCACCAAGUACCCAGAUGCCAACCCAAACCCCAAUGAACAAUAGGAAGAAUUCUGCCCUCUUGUCUGGAUCCUGGAACUGCCCUUCUGUCGAUCUCCUGGAUCUCUCUCAUCACCCAUUAUCAUGUAUUCUCUGGAAAUUAUGCCCCCCCUUAUGUGUAUCAUUGCCUAUAUGCAUAUGGAUUUGUUUGCAAAAUAAAUAUUGGACGCCUGUUUUAAAGGA
This is a long non-coding RNA of Peromyscus leucopus (white-footed mouse), 395 nucleotides long. RefSeq lists it as uncharacterized. The transcript has 2 exons. The record is from RefSeq and is a predicted model, not a curated record. Lineage: Eukaryota; Metazoa; Chordata; Mammalia; Rodentia; Cricetidae.